GCGCGGGUUGCGAUUCCUGGGCGUUGUGGGAACCAAGGGCGAGCGCUCAAGGUCGGAGAGCAGACGAGGCCGGAGGGCGCCUGACGGCAAAGGGUGUCGCCUGCUCUAGCCACCUGGAGCAGGCCAGGCUGGGCUUUGGAGAACUCGCCUCUCCAGUACGGCUUGUGGAGAUAAACAGAGCGUCUCGACAGAAUUGGCUGGACUUGAAACUUCGAACUUGCCAGGGGAGAAGUAAUGUGUUAUAGAAAAAUGAAACGGAUUACCCUAUGUUCUCAGCCUGGAAGACGACCAUCACCCAGGCACUGUUUCGAGCUCUUCUCAUGAAUUUAAUAAUCCAGUGCUGGAGAUUCCACAGCCCCAUUUGUCAGUGAGGGAGAGGCUGUUGUUCAAAGUCAGUAAGUAGAACUUGGGUGAGAAUUUAAGUAGUCAGAAGCCACCCCACAGAUAGCCUUUUCUGAUAUAUCAUGCCUCUUCAUUGGUUUGUAUGUCCGUUUAUGCUGAAGGGGAGCAAAAUAUGCCAACUCAAAAUAUGCACUUUGGCAUAUUGAUUUUGUAUUAAAAGUAUAUGAGAAACAGCCGUUGCAAGGACACUCUGAACCUCCUUUGUCUCCCCUGAGAGGAGCUAAAUCUCCCAUGUGAAAGGUAGCCUCCCUGUAUCAGGAUAGAGGCACCCUUAUCACCAGAGAGAAAAUUUAGGGCAAAGCUGGCUGUGUAAACAAACCUUGUUAUGUCUUUCUUCACCAAUUUACUACCCCAAGCCCAAAUUCUUUGUCUUGUCAGUUCUUCACAAGUUUAUCUAAAUAGAAGAUAUAAAAGCUUCCUGCUUUGCUCACUUCUUCAGCCUCACAUUUUUAUGGGACACCCAUACAAAUUUGUUUUUCUCCUGUUAAUCUGUUUUAUGUCAAUCUAAUAGAUUAGCCAAAGAACCCUGAAGUGAAGACGGGAAAAAUUUUCCACUUAUCUACAAUGCUUUGUACAAGUUACCAUGCUUGGUGACUAGCAGCAGGAUCCUUGAAAUGAAAGAAGUCUUGAAUGCUUGUCAUCAGGGAUGGCAAGGAAGCUGGGGAAGCUACUCGGUGUUUUAUUCCAUAUCCAAGCUUGGGGGAAAGCCCAUGAAAUGGAAACAAAAGGACACAGAAGCCAUCGUAAAAGCAAGAGCGGAGUCAGGGUGCAUCCAGCAAAUCUGAAGUGUGAUAGCAAUAUGACACACUGGAAGGGCACAGGAACCAGCCAUCAGCCUUAUAUAGCUUAGAAAUGGCGGCUAUAUUUUGCUGCAUGCUUGUAAAGGUUAACCUAGGUCACCGAGAAAAUGUACACUGUAAUCAUGCUGUUCAAAGUAAGAGAGUAUAAAACAUCUAUUAAUUAUGGUUAAGCCUUGAAGGAAUAAUUAUUUAGAACCUUUUUGUUACCAAAAUACAUCAUUCCAGACAUAUAAUAAUUACUUAAAUUUACUACGAGACAAAUGAACCUAAUUAUCAAAAUAUAAUUUUUAUGAGUAUUUCUUUAGACAUUUUAUACUUACUAUAUGUGCAGAAUAACAAGGUGUUUUUUAUUAAAACAUACACAGUCUACAUCAGCAUGGACUAGCAUUUCUAUUCCUAGUUUUUUCCUCAAAUACCAAUUAGUGACAUUGGAUAACUAUGGCUACUACCAUCAAAAUAUUCUCAACCUGGUGGUUCAAACACAUCCCUCUAAACAAAUAACUCUAAUGAUAUUCUGAGAAUGCUCUAAAAACAUUUUUCCUUUUGGAACUUAGGUAUCAGGGUAAAAUGAAGAUUCUCUAAGAUUGUUUAUUCUUUAAUGGUCUAAAAUGAAGACAAAAUUAGAUAAAAUCUUAGCUUGAUGGAAAGGUCAACAAAUAUUUUGCUAACUGUUCUCAUGGUAAUAGUACAGUAGUCCCAUUGUAUCCACAGCAGACACAUUCUGAGACCCCCAAGUGGAUGACUGGAACACUGGAUAAUACGUAAGCCUAUAUAUACUGUUUUUUCCGACACUUAAUACACUUGAUGGAUUCUCUUUGGCAUAACCAAAUUGCCAGCAUCAUUACUCUUAAAACUUUGGUGCCAUUAGGUAAAAUAGGGACUUGAACACAAGUACUACGAUACCUCCACAGCUGAUCUGAUAACGGAGACCGUUUCUAAGUGAUUAAUGGGCUGGAAGCAAAUACAGUGUGAAUACGCUGGACAAAGGAAUGAUUCACAUCCCAAGCAGGAUGCAACAGGACAGCACAAGACUUCAUCAUGCUACUCAGAGGGUAUGCAAUUUAAAUAUUAUGUACUAUUUCUGGAAUUUUCCAUUUAAUAUUUUCAGACUGCAGUUGAUGAUGGGUAACUGAGGAUAAGAGGGGACAACUGUAUAUUUAAAGAAAAAAAAAAAGCAUUGGCUUCAAG
Long non-coding RNA from Pteropus alecto (black flying fox), 2390 nucleotides. RefSeq lists it as uncharacterized. The record is from RefSeq and is a predicted model, not a curated record. The transcript has 3 exons. Lineage: Eukaryota; Metazoa; Chordata; Mammalia; Chiroptera; Pteropodidae.